Triticum aestivum (bread wheat) is the source of this 135-nucleotide non-coding RNA. The record is from Rfam. Lineage: Eukaryota; Viridiplantae; Streptophyta; Magnoliopsida; Poales; Poaceae.
CAAAUACUCCCUCCGUCCGGAAAUACUUGUCAUCAAAAUGGAUAAAAGGAAAUGUAUCUAGACGUAUUUUAGUUUUAGAUACAUCUCUUUUUAUCCAUUUUGAUGACAAGUAUUUUCGGACGGAGGGAGUAGCAA